AGAGAGAGACAUGCGCGCAUAUCAAUAAGCGGAGGAAAAGAAACUAACAAGGAUUCCCUUAGUAACGGCGAGUGAAGCGGGAAGAGCUCAAAUUUGAAAUCUUCAAGGUUCUACCUUGACGAAUUGUAGUUUAUAGAAGUGUUUUCUGUUAGUGGAGUGGCAAAAGUUCUUUGGAAUAGGACAUCAUAGAGGGUGAGAAUCCCGUAUUUGGUCAUUCCUCCUAGCGUUGUGAUACACUUUCAACGAGUCGGAUUGUUUGGGAAUGCAGUCCAAAAUGGGUGGUAAAUUUCAUCUAAAGCUAAAUAUUGGCGAGAGACCGAUAGCGAACAAGUACCGUGAGGGAAAGAUGAAAAGAACUUUGAAAAGAGAGUUAAACAGUACGUGAAAUUGUCAAAAGGGAAGCGUUUGACACCAGUGUUGCUUUUUCCGAAAAUCAAUUACGAAUGUUUUAGUUUUUGAGGAGUUAUGACUUCAUCGGCUUGCUCCUUUCUUUAUGAAACUUUCUUAAUGCACUUUUCGGUUAACAAGUCAACAUCAAUUUCUUUUGUUGUAAAAGGGUAUGAGGAAGGUGGCUUUCUCUUCGGAGAAAGUGUAUUAUAGCCUUGUACCUCUGCAAUCGGAGAGAUUGAGGUCUGCAGCGUAGAUCCUUCGGGGUUAGAUACGUUUGUGCUAAGUUAUAGCUUUUCAUAGACAACUUGUUGACUAUGUUUAGUCUUGUAGCUUACUCGCUGAUGCUAUUUUACCUACGCUUAGGAUGUUGAUAGUCACAGCGUGUAC
This 777-nucleotide ribosomal RNA is filed under the name uncultured Neocallimastigales. RNAcentral's name for it is "partial large subunit ribosomal RNA". It matches the Rfam family "Eukaryotic large subunit ribosomal RNA", at positions 23 to 644 of the family's 3401-position model. The record is from RNAcentral. Lineage: Eukaryota; Fungi; Neocallimastigomycota; Neocallimastigomycetes; Neocallimastigales.